AAUGGCUGCAGUAAUUUGACUGUACAAAGGUAGCAUAAUCAUUAGUUUUUUAAUUAAAAGCUUGUAUGAAAGGUUGGACGAGAUAAAAUCUGUCUCUUUUUAAUAUAAUUAGAAUUUAAUUUUUAAGUUAAAAAGCUUAAAUUUAUAUAAAAGACGAGAAGACCCUAUAGAGUUUUAUAGUUUUAAUUUAUUAAUUAAUUUAGAUUUAUUAAUUUUAUUUUUUUAAAAUUAUUUUAUUGGGGUAAUAGAAAGAUAAAAAAAAUUCUUUUUUUUAAAAAUCAUUAAUUUAUGAAAAUUUUAUGAUCCAUUAAAUUUUGAAUAUAAGAUUAAAUUACCUUAGGGAUAACAGCGUAAUUUUUUUAAAGAGUUCAUAUCGAUAAAAAAGUUUGCGACCUCGAUGUUGGAUUAAAGAUUAAUUUAGGUGUAGAAGUUUAAAUUUUUGGUCUGUUCGACCAUUAAAUCUUUACAUGAUCUGAGUUCAAACCGGUGUAAGCCAGGUUGGUUUCUAUCUUUAUAAAAUUUUUAUAUUUUAGUACGAAAGGACCAGAUAUAUUAUAUAUAAAUAUUUAAAUUAUUGAAUAU
RNAcentral lists this ribosomal RNA (582 nucleotides) under Trechus bruckii. RNAcentral's name for it is "partial 16S ribosomal RNA". The stretch from base 342 to 500 matches the Rfam family "Bacterial large subunit ribosomal RNA", at positions 2473 to 2632 of the family's 2925-position model. The record is from RNAcentral. Lineage: Eukaryota; Metazoa; Arthropoda; Insecta; Coleoptera; Carabidae.